AUAAUAUUCCAUAAUUGAGAAUGCCUGGAAUGGUUUCUCAUUGAAAGAUCGAUUCGAAUGGGAGUCGUUUCGCCAUAGGAUAGGAUUGCGCCCGAUUAUGGUAGUUGGUGAGGUAAUGGCUCACCAAGCCUAUUAUCGGUAAGGGCCGUGAGAGCGGAAGCCCUGAGAUGGGUACUGAGACAAUGACCCAGGUCUUACGAGACGCAGCAGGCGCGAAAACUUCACAAUGCACGAAAGUGUGAUGAGGUUACCCGGAGUGCUACAUAGUAGCUGUUGUGGGUGAGUAAGAUUCCCCACCAGAAAGGAGAGGGCAAGGCUGGUGCCAGCCGCCGCGGUAAAACCAGCUCUUCAAGUGGUCGGGACUUUUAUUGGGCUUAAAGUGUCCGUAGCCGGUUUAGUAAGUUCCUGGUUAAAUCAGAUAGCUUAACUAUUUGUCAGCUAGGAAAACUACUAUACUAGGGGGCGGGAGAGGUCUGAGGUACUCCAGGGGUAGCGGUGAAAUGCUAUAAUCCUUGGGGGACCACCAGUGGCGAAGGCGUCAGACUGGAACGCGCCCGACGGUGAGGGACGAAAGCCAGGGGAGCGAACCGGAUUAGAUACCCGGGUAGUCCUGGCUGUAAACGAUGCGUGCUAGGUGUUGGUAUGGCUAUGAGCCGUAUCAGUGCCGUAGGGAAACCGUUAAGCGCGCCGCCUGGGGAGUACGGUCGCAAGACUGAAACUUAAAG
RNAcentral lists this ribosomal RNA (725 nucleotides) under uncultured archaeon. RNAcentral's name for it is "bacterial SSU rRNA". It matches the Rfam family "Archaeal small subunit ribosomal RNA", at positions 146 to 861 of the family's 1478-position model. The record is from RNAcentral.